UAGACCUCCCAUUCUCAUUUGCAAAUCCUCAAAUCCUACACCGUUUUGACCUCAAAAAA
RNAcentral lists this small RNA (59 nucleotides) under Caenorhabditis elegans. Its description in RNAcentral is "Unclassified non-coding RNA B0284.7". The record is from RNAcentral. Lineage: Eukaryota; Metazoa; Nematoda; Chromadorea; Rhabditida; Rhabditidae.